RNAcentral lists this small RNA (76 nucleotides) under Xanthomonas populi. RNAcentral describes it as "sX9 sRNA". It matches the Rfam family "Xanthomonas sRNA sX9". The record is from RNAcentral. Lineage: Bacteria; Pseudomonadati; Pseudomonadota; Gammaproteobacteria; Lysobacterales; Lysobacteraceae.
AUGUACCACUCGCAUACGGCGCUUCUUCCGCGGCGUCCGCACCCACCGUAGGGCUGCUGGCUACGUGUUGUUAGCC